UACGGAGGAUGCGAGCGUUAUCCGGAUUUAUUGGGUUUAAAGGGUGCGUAGGCGGGAUGCCAAGUCAGCGGUAAAAAUGCUGUGCUCAACGCCGUCGAGCCGUUGAAACUGGCGUUCUUGAGUGGGCGAGAAGUAUGCGGAAUGCGUGGUGUAGCGGUGAAAUGCAUAGAUAUCACGCAGAACUCCGAUUGCGAAGGCAGCAUACCGGCGCCCUACUGACGCUGAGGCACGAAAGCGUGGGUAUCGAACAGG
Molecule: ribosomal RNA, 252 nt
Filed under: uncultured bacterium
Lineage: Bacteria
Description: partial 16S ribosomal RNA
Rfam family: Bacterial small subunit ribosomal RNA
Source: RNAcentral